RNAcentral lists this long non-coding RNA (3615 nucleotides) under Solanum tuberosum (potato). Its description in RNAcentral is "long non-coding RNA (STUB_LNC010442)". Lineage: Eukaryota; Viridiplantae; Streptophyta; Magnoliopsida; Solanales; Solanaceae. The record is from RNAcentral.
GAAGACUUUAGAACCCUUUAGAUUAUUCAAGAAGGCUAGAGAAUUCCCUAGAAUAACUUAGAAGGCAAUGGAAGGUCCUAGAUAGUUUCCAAGAAAGCCUUAGAAGAAUUCUCUAGAAUGUGUAGAGAAUUCUAGAAGAGGAACUAGAUAUUUUCUUGGAAAGCUUUAGAAUUUCCUAGAAUUAGUAGAAGAUUCUACGGAGGGAUCAAAGUGUAAAUAGUUUAGGGAGUUGUAAAGUAAAUAUUAAUUACAUUUUAGUCCCUAGGAGGUAGUAUAAAUAGAGGUACCCCUCAUUUGCAAGGCACCAUCCAAGCUUGAAGCAAGUGUAAGCAAUCUUCCAAGCUUAAUACAAGCCUUCUUCCAAACUUUCCAAAUCUUUCUAAGUCUUUCAUUUUCAUUCUCUUAGCGAUCUUAGUUUAAAAAGGCUUACUUGAGCUUACGAGAUCAUGAAAGAAUAGUGAGUAAGUUGUCAAGUGCCUCACGGAGCUUUAGUAAGACUCUAAAUUCGUGACAAAGUGGUAUCAGAGCGAAGGUUUGCACUAAGGAAAUGGCAACCGAAGGGGACGUAAACGCCACUAGCACCACCAACGUCCAUCCUGAUGGUGGAAAGAGGAACCACAAGGGAAAGAAGGACCAAAAAAGUAACGAGGAAAUGCUGCUAGAUCCCACACCAAAUGAGGCGCUAACAUCUCAUCCACCCUCGACCACCGAGGCAAGUGACGAUGAACUUGGCGAGGAGGCCAUUGACGUCACCGCAGGAGAAGAGUGGGUCACAAGGGUUGAAGUGGCGAGGCAGGCCGUGGAGAUAUUAGGCCGGCGCAUGAACGUGGCCGAUGGCAAGUUCAAAACUCUUGAAGACUUCACCCUUGAGGAGACUGAAAACAUCCGCAAGGAGUUGGAAUGACGUCAGCAGGCCGAAUUUGAGAUGAAGGAGGCUAUCACUUCCUUGGAGUGUUGGCUCAUGAAGGCGUUGAGCACGAUCGAGACCAUGAAGGCCGAGAUGAAAUCACUCAAGGAAGGUGUGGCAGCUGGAGGAUCAUCAUCGCUUGACCGAGAUAAGGAGGCCAGGAUCGAGGCUCCCAAGCCACCUAUGUUCAAAGGCGUCUGUGACGCGCAAGAGGUGGAGAAUUUCCUUUGGCAUUUGGAGAAUCACUUCAAGUGCAACGGGCUGAACAGCGACAAGAGUAAGAUCAACACCGCUGUACUGUAUCUUUCGGAGAUGGCCAUGCUAUGGUGGAGGCACAAGGAAGCCGAGAUAGGGAAGGGGACGUGCACUAUCAACACCUGGGAGCAACUCCGGGAAGAGUUCAACAAAGCCUUUUUCCCUAACAACGUCAUCUAUGAGGCGAAACGCAAGUUUAGGGAGCUGAAGCAAACGGGCAGUAUCCGCGCAUAUGUGCAAGAGUUCACUACCCUCACGCUUCGAAUUCCUAACAUCACGGAUGAUGAUAUGUUGUUCCACUUCAUGGAUGGGCUACAAAAUUGGGCCAGGACGGAGUUGGAACGUCGACAAGUCAGGACCAUAAACGAAGCCAUCACGCAGGCCAAACUUUUACAGACUUCAGGCAUGAGAAACCCAACCGAACCGGAGAAGAAAAGAUGAGAGGUAGUCAUGACCAUGGUGGGGGAGAUUGUGGCGAAGGCGAGGAGCAGCGGCCACAUCCCAAGAAACAUGACACCUAAAAUUUUGAUGGCAAAAAGUCUGGACGUCAUGACAACACAGAGAAGAAGAUAGAGGUUGCCAACAAAAGUAGCUGCUACAUAUACGGCGGGCCGCAUAGUUAUGCAAGGUGCCCUGAACUGAAGAGCCUUGGUGCCAUCCUACAAGAGCGGAAGGAGAAAGACGCCCAGGAGCAAGGACAAGGCGAAGGGACAACGCAGUUGGGCUUGAUAGGACUAUGCGGAGCCAUCACGAAGCAGCCAGAGAAGCCAAGAGGAUACGGCGCGCAAUAUGUCGACCUUAUGAUCAAUGGAAGACCCGUUUGUGCAAUGGUCGACACGGGUGCAGAAGUCAAUAUCAUGACCAAGACGGUAGCAACGAGGUUGAGGUUGAGUUACAAUCCAAGUAACGCCCAACUCAAGACGGUCAAUGCACUACCGACUCAUGUGAGCAGAGUCGCGUAUGGAGUGAGCAUCACGCUAGGCGAGUGGCAAGGUAAGACCAACUUCACUGUCGCUCCUUUAGAUCUCUUUAACAUAAUUCUUGGGCAAGAGUUCUUCCAGCAGUGCCACGCGGUGAUCGACCCUUACCUCCAACGACUUCUAGUCAUGGAGCAAGGAAGAUCAUGCAUGGUUCCCCUGGUCAAGGUACCGAAGACGGAAGGACAAGUACGUCUAACUGCUAUGCGACUUGUAAGAAGCCCUAAGAAGAAGGAGCCGACGUUUAAUGCCACUAUUGCAAGUUCGAAGAAAGACAAUGGUGCAAAAAGGUCCCUGCCACCACGCACGAAAGAGGUUCCAAAAGAGAACAAUGUCGUGAUGCUAAAGAAGCUGCCAAGGCGUGUGCCUCCUAGGAAGGAGGUAGGUCAUAAGUCUGAGCUAGAAGCGAUAUGGAAGGCGUUGAAGGCGUUGCGCAAGGGCCUUAAUUGAGUCAAUGGAGUAUUGGUCGCGUACGCACAAGGCUCGGAUGACGAUGUAGCGGUAAUGCGACGAGGUCUUCGCAUCAAUAGGUGGGGGAAAGUGUUAAGUCCCGCCGCAUCACAAUGAAAUUUUGCGUCUGAAUGGGGACGGAAGGGUCUAGAGUUGUGGAAAGGUUUCCGGAAGACUUAAGAACCCUUUAGAUUAUUCAAGAAGGCUAGAGAAUUCCCUAGAAUAACUUAAAAGGCAAUUGAAGGUCCUAGAUAGUUUUCAAGAAAGCCUUAGAAUUCUCUAGAAUGUGUAGAGAAUUCUAGAAGAGGGACUAGAUAUUUUCUUGGAAAGCUUUAGAAUUUCCUAGAAUUAGUAGAAGAUUCUAGGGAGGGACCAAAGUGUAAAUAGUUUAGGGACUUGUAAAGUAAAUAUUAAUUACAUUUUAGUCCCUAGGAGGUAGUAUAAAUAGAGGUGCCCCUUAUUUGCAAGGCACCAUCCAAGCUUGAAGCAAGAAAUCCAACAACUUGUAAAGCUUUCUUAUAAGCAAUAUAAGCCUUCUUCCAAAAUUCUCUAAGUCUUCCUUUUCAUUCUCUUAGCGAUCUUAAUUUCAAAGGGCUUACUUGAGCUUACAAGAUCGUGAAAGAUUCGUGAGUAAGUUGUCAAGUGCCGCACGGAGCUUUAGUAAGACCCUAAGUCCGUGACAUGUGGCCUAGGUUGUAUUUCAUGCAAGCCCAACAAUCCAUGCUAAACUUAGCUUAUAGGAGGAAGAAGAAGAAGAACAAGAAGAUGAAGAUUUGAAUAUAGAGAGAGAGAGACUAUAACGGUAAUCAAGACUUGAAGAAGUAGAACUGGAAGAUUUGAAGAAGUAAGGAGUAUAUAUAUAGAGAGAGACUAUAACGGUAAUCAAGAAUGUGUAACUAACCUUUGUUACAACUUCUCUUUUCUUGCAUAAACCAUUCACAAAUCUCACUUUUAUAUAUUCACUAGAAUAAAAAAUCGUCGUGUUUCUUGCUUCUUUCUCUUUUAUCAUAUAACUUUCGAUUAGGG